This 622-nucleotide ribosomal RNA is filed under the name Coconut leaflet phytoplasma. RNAcentral describes it as "partial 16S ribosomal RNA". The stretch from base 1 to 344 matches the Rfam family "Bacterial small subunit ribosomal RNA", at positions 210 to 537 of the family's 1533-position model. Lineage: Bacteria; Bacillati; Mycoplasmatota; Mollicutes; Acholeplasmatales; Acholeplasmataceae. The record is from RNAcentral.
GUCUAGCUUUCGAGCAGGCCCUGCGCCUCUAACAUUCAUUGGUCAGGUAAUGGCCUACCAAGAACGAUGAUGUGUAGCUGGACUGAGAGGUGAACAGGCAGCAUGGGACUGAGACACGGCCCAAACUCCUACGGGAGCAAGCAAGUAUAGGGAAAAUCUCGGACAAUGGAGGAAACUCUGACCGAGCAACGCCGCGUGAAUGACGAAGUACUUCGGUAUGUAAAGUUCUUGUUAUCAAGGAAAAAAAGGAAAUGGCGAACCAUUUGUGUGCCGGUACUUGAUGAAUAUGCCCCGGCGUAAUUAUGUGCUCAGCAGGGGGGGGGGAAGAAAAAAAUAGGGGGAAGAAUGUUUGUUCCUGCAAAUUAAUUAGUGGGGGUUAGUAAGGGGGGUGCUGUAGGGCGGUCCUAAUUAAGUCAGUGGGUUGUAAUUGGCAAACGCUUUAACGUUGUCCGGUUAUUGAAAACUGCUAAAACUUGAAUUUAAUAGAGGCGAGUGGAAUCCAUGUGUAGCGUAAAUGCUAAUUUGGAGACACAAAGCUAGCGUCGUGGUUAUGACGCUGAGCAACUGGACACGAUAAACCUGUUCCCAAAAUUAUUGUAACGUUAUACAUUAUCCUUUUAAG